AACGAACGCUGGCGGCGUGCCUAACACAUGCAAGUCGAACGAGAAAGGGGCUUCGGCUCCGAGUAAAGUGGCGCACGGGUGAGUAACACGUGGGUAACCUGCCUCUAAGAUUGGGAUAACUCGUCGAAAGAUGAGCUAAUACCGAAUAAGACCACAGUUCCCGCGGGAACAGGGGUCAAAGGUAGCCUCUGCUUGCAAGCUAUCACUUAGAGAUGGGCCUGCGCACCAUUAGCUAGUUGGUAGGGUAACGGCCUACCAAGGCAAAGAUGGUUAGCUGGUCUGAGAGGAUGAUCAGCCACACUGGAACUGAGACACGGUCCAGACUCCUACGGGAGGCAGCAGUGGGGAAUAUUGCGCAAGGGGCGAAAGCUUGACGCAGCAACGCCGCGUGAGUGAUGAAGGCCUUCGGGUCGUAAAGCUCUGUCGGGAGGAACGAAUGCUCCUGAGGUUAACAGCCUCGGGAGGUGACGGUACCUUCAAAGGAAGCACCGGCUAACUCUGUG
Molecule: ribosomal RNA, 503 nt
Filed under: uncultured bacterium
Lineage: Bacteria
Description: partial 16S ribosomal RNA
Rfam family: Bacterial small subunit ribosomal RNA
Source: RNAcentral